GACGAACGCUGGCGGCGCGCCUAACACAUGCAAGUCGAACGAGAGAGAGGGAGCUUGCUUCCUCAAUCGAGUGGCGAACGGGUGAGUAACGCGUGAGGAACCUGCCUCAAAGAGGGGGACAACAGUUGGAAACGACUGCUAAUACUACAUAAGCCCACGACCCGGCAUCGGGUUGAGGGAAAAGGAGCAAUCCGCUUUGAGAUGGCCUCGCGUCCGAUUAGCUAGUUGGUGAGGUAAUGGCCCACCAAGGCAACGAUCGGUAGCCGGACUGAGAGGUUGAACGGCCACAUUGGGACUGAGACACGGCCCAGACUCCUACGGGAGGCAGCAGUGGGGAAUAUUGCACAAUGGGGGAAACCCUGAUGCAGCGACGCCGCGUGGAGGAAGAAGGUCUUCGGAUUGUAAACUCCUGUUGUUGAGGAAGAUAAUGACGGUACUCAACAAGGAAGUGACGG
This 455-nucleotide ribosomal RNA is filed under the name uncultured bacterium. RNAcentral's name for it is "bacterial SSU rRNA". It matches the Rfam family "Bacterial small subunit ribosomal RNA", at positions 28 to 496 of the family's 1533-position model. The record is from RNAcentral.